RNAcentral lists this ribosomal RNA (456 nucleotides) under uncultured bacterium. RNAcentral's name for it is "bacterial SSU rRNA". It matches the Rfam family "Bacterial small subunit ribosomal RNA", at positions 349 to 793 of the family's 1533-position model. The record is from RNAcentral.
CAGCAGUGGGGAAUAUUGCACAAUGGGCGCAAGCCUGAUGCAGCCAUGCCGCGUGUAUGAAGAAGGACCUUCGGGUUGUAAAGUACUUUCAGCAGUGAGGAAGGUGGGGUAUGUUAAUAGCAUAUUCAUUUGACGUUAGCUGCAGAAGAAAGCACCGGCUAACUCCGUGCCAGCAGCCGCGGUAAUACGGAGGGUGCGAGCGUUAAUCGGAAUUACUGGGCGUAAAGCGCAUGCAGGUGGUUUGUUAAGUCAGAUGUGAAAGCCCGGGGCUCAACCUCGGAAUUGCAUUUGAAACUGGCAAACUAGAGUACUGUAGAGGGGGGUAGGAAUUUCAGGUGUAGCGGUGAAAUGCGUAGAGAUCUGAAGGAAUACCGGUGGCGAAGGCGGCCCCCUGGACAGAUACUGACACUCAGAUGCGAAAGCGUGGGGAGCAAACAGGAUUAGAUACCCUGGUAG